CGGUUAAGCAAGAAAGAGCACAGGGCGGAUGCCUUGGCACUGAGAGCCGAAGAAAGACGUGAUAAGCUGCGAAAAGCCGCGGGGAGGAGCAAAUAUCCAGAGAGCCGCGGAUAUCUGAAUGGGGAAACCCACAUGGAGAGACUCCAUGUAUCCAUAUCUGAAUCCAUAGGGUAUGGAGGGGAACCCGGUGAACUGAAACAUCUAAGUAGCCGGAGGAAGAGAAAGAAACAUCGAUUCCGAGAGUAGCGGCGAGCGAAAUCGGAAGAGCCCAAACCAGAGCGCGAGCGUUCUGGGGUUCGGACUGCACAAGCUGCUGCAAAGGACAGCCGAAUGGCACUGGAAAGACCAGCGGGAGAGGGUGAGAGCCCCGUAGGCGAAGUCAAGAGCAGGGCGGCAGGAUCCAGAGUACCACGGGACACGAGAAACCCUGUGGGAAAGAGCGGGGACCACCCCGUAAGGCUAAAUACUACUCAGUGACCGAUAGCGUAUAGUACUGUGAAGGAAAGGUGAAAAGGACCCCGGGAGGGGAGUGAAAGAGAACCUGAAACCCUGUGUUUACAAGCUGUGGGACACUUAUAAAGGUGGACCGCGUACUUUUUGUAGAACGGUCCGGCGAGUUGCGGGGGCUGGCGAGGUUAAGCACUGAAGGUGCGGAGCCGGAGGGAAACCGAGUCUUAAUAGGGCGGUAAGUCAGGCCACGCAGACCCGAAACCGGGUGACCUACCCAUGUCCAGGAUGAAGCUGCCGUAAGAGGCAGUGGAGGUCCGAACCCACAUCCGUUGAAAAGGGUGGGGAUGAGGUGUGGGUAGGGGAGAAAUUCCAAUCGAACCCGGAGAUAGCUGGUUCUCCUCGAAAUAGCUUUAGGGCUAGCCUCAUGACAGCCAGAUGGAGGUAGAGCACUGAAUACCCUAGGGGGCGUCAAAGCCUACCGAAGGUUAUCAAACUCCGAAUGCCAUGCUGGUGAUUGAUGGGAGUCAGACUGCACGAGAUAAGUUGGGCAGUCAAAAGGGAAAGAGCCCAGACCCACGGCUAAGGUCCCAGAGUGCGUGUUAAGUGGAAAAGGAUGUGGGAUCUCGAAGACAGCUAGGAUGUUGGCUCAGAAGCAGCCACACAUUCAAAGAGUGCGUAAUAGCUCACUAGUCGAGAGGUCCUGCGCCGAAAAUGUCCGGGGCUGAAACACGCCACCGAAGCCUGGGGAUCCGUCUAUCCAUAGGGUAGAAGGAUCGGUAGAGGAGCAUGCUCAUCCUGCUGAAGCCGUACCGGAAGGAGCGGUGGAGGGAUGAGGAGAGAGAAUGCCGGAAUGAGUAGCGAGAGUAAGGUGAGAAUCCUUACGGCCGGAUAUCCAAGGAUUCCAGGGUAAAGCUGAUCUGCCCUGGGUAAGUCGGGGCCUAAGGCGAGGCUUGAGAGCGUAGCCGAUGGACAACAGGUGGAGAUUCCUGUACUGCUGUAUGACAGAACUGUGGGGACGCAUGGAGGAAGCGUGGACCGGGAGAGGAGAGACCGGUGCAAGCGGGCCAGGUGAAGGGCUGGAAAAACCGUCCUGCGGGCCGAACCCGUGACGCGGAGCGAAAGGAAGUAGCGAAGCACGUGGAGGCUGUGCCGAGAAAAGCCGCUAUCGUUCAUACAGUACCCGUACCGAAAACCGACACAGGUGGAUAGGGAGAGGAUCCCAAGGCCGGCGGGAGAAGCAUUGUCAAGGAACUCGGCAAAAUGACCCCGUAACUUCGGGAGAAGGGGUGCCACAGAGAUGUGGCCGCAGAGAAUAGGCUCAGGCAACUGUUUAGCAAAAACACAGGUCUAUGCGAAACCGGAAGGUGAGGUAUAUGGGCUGACGCCUGCCCGGUGCUGGAAGGUCAAGAGGAGGAGUCAGGAAACGAAGCUCUGAACCUAAGCCCCAGUAAACGGCGGCCGUAACUAUAACGGUCCUAAGGUAGCGAAAUUCCUUGUCGGGUAAGUUCCGACCCGCACGAAAGGCGUAAUGAUCUGAGCACUGUCUCGACAAUGCACCCGGUGAAAUUGAACUGCCAGUGAAGAUGCUGGCUACCUGCGCCAGGACGGAAAGACCCCAUGGAGCUUUACUCCAGCUUGAUACUGGGAUCCGGUGCUGUAUGUACAGGAUAGGUGGGAGGCAGUGAAGUGAGGACGCCAGUCCUCAUGGAGCCGCUGUUGGGAUACCACCCUUGCAGUACUGGGUUUCUAACCUGCGCCCGUGAACCGGGCGGGGGACAAUGUCUGGCGGGGAGUUUGACUGGGGCGGUCGCCUCCGAAAGGGUAUCGGAGGCGCUCAAAGGUUCCCUCAGAAUGGACGGAAACCAUUCGGAGAGCGCAAAGGCAGAAGGGAGCUUGACUGCGACACCGACGGGUGGAGCAGGUACGAAAGUAGGACUUAGUGAUCCGGUGGCAUGAAGUGGGACUGCCAUCGCUCAACGGAUAAAAGCUACCCUGGGGAUAACAGGCUUAUCACUCCCAAGAGUUCACAUCGACGGAGUGGUUUGGCACCUCGAUGUCGGCUCAUCGCAUCCUGGGGCUGUAGCAGGUCCCAAGGGUUGGGCUGUUCGCCCAUUAAAGCGGUACGCGAGCUGGGUUCAGAACGUCGUGAGACAGUUCGGUCCCUAUCCGGCGCAGGCGCAGGAUAUCUGAGAGGAGCUGUCCUUAGUACGAGAGGACCGGGAUGGACGGACCGCUGGUGUACCUGUUGGCAACCGAUGCCAUGGCAGGGUAGCCAAGUCCGGCAGGGAUAAACGCUGAAGGCAUCUAAGCGUGAAGCCCCCCUCAAGAUGAGAUAUCCCAUGGAGAGAUCCAUAAGACCCCUUGGAGAGUACGAGGUAGAUAGGCAUAAGGUGUAAGUGCAGCAAUGUAUUGAGCUGAUAUGUACUAAUCGGUCGAGGGCUUAACCAUGA
Molecule: ribosomal RNA, 2900 nt
Filed under: bacterium 0.1xD8-71
Lineage: Bacteria
Description: bacterial LSU rRNA
Rfam family: Bacterial large subunit ribosomal RNA
Source: RNAcentral